Molecule: ribosomal RNA, 761 nt
Filed under: uncultured bacterium
Lineage: Bacteria
Description: bacterial SSU rRNA
Rfam family: Bacterial small subunit ribosomal RNA
Source: RNAcentral
AGAGUUUGAUCCUGGCUCAGGAUGAACGCUGGCGGCAUGCCUAAUACAUGCAAGUCGAACGAGGAUCCUUCGGGAUCCUAGUGGCGAACGGGUGAGUAACACGUAGGGAACCUGCCCGCGCACCGGGAAUACGCUCUGGAAACGGAGAACAAAUCCCGAUGUACAGGAAGGAGGCAUCUUCUUUCUGUGAAACAUCCUGUAAGGGAUGGGGCGCGGAUGGACCUGCGGUGCAUUAGUUGGUUGGCGAGGGUAAAGGCCCACCAAGACGAUGAUGCAUAGCCGGCCUGAGAGGGCGGACGGCCACAUUGGGACUGAGACACGGCCCAGACUCCUGCGGGAGGCAGCAGUAGGGAAUUUUCGUCAAUGGGCGCAAGCCUGAACGAGCGAUGCCGCGUGAGUGAAGAAGGCCUUCGGGUCGUAAAGCUCUGUUGCGGGGGAAAAAAGGCAACUACAGGAAAUGGUAGAUGACAGAUGGUGCCCCGCCAGAAAGUCACGGCUAACUACGUGCCAGCAGCCGCGGUAAUACGUAGGUGGCGAGCGUUAUCCGGAAUGAUUGGGCGUAAAGGGUGCGCAGGCGGUCCUGCAAGUCUGGAGUGAAACGUAUGAGCUCAACUCAUGCAUGGCUCUGGAAACUGGAGGACUGGAGAGCAGGAGAGGGCGGUGGAACUCCAUGUGUAGCGGUAAAAUGCGUAGAUAUAUGGAAGAACACCAGUGGCGAAGGCGGCCGCCUGGCCUGUUGCUGACGCUGAGGCACGAAAGCG